GUGGCAUUCUGAAUUUCUCAAAUCACUCUCUGAUACCUUAUCUCAAGAGAUCUUCAUAGCAACCCACUGAGGUUAUGACAACUCCAUCAGGAAAGAAAACAAUCCUAUCAUGCUGAUCAAGGCGAGGGCCAUCAUCAGGUCACACAUCUAAAGACGGAAAACAAGGCCUGCUGGACUUGGCUCCCACCAGCUUGGAAAGCCAGUUGUUAAAUUUUCAAUGUGAGCAUUUACCCCUCAGAAACUGCCAAAUACAACCAAUCAGGGCUCAAUCUAGGGUUUUGGUGGUUGUUUAGACUUAAGAACAUGAUGGAAAAAAUAUGAAUCAUGCAGGUGACACUCUAAAGUAUAUCUUGCUUUUUCAAAGAUCCAGUUGCAAACAAAGAUCCAAAUUCCCUCCCAGAGAUGGUAAACAAUUUGAUCUGGGCUAUACGUGUAUUAAGCAGGAUCAGAUUUUGAGCUGAAAGGACCAGAAGAUCCCAGAGGUCACAUCAGAGGCCGUUCAAUGUAACCCCCUCAUUUUUCAGAUGAGGCAUCUGAGGCCACAGCAGAAGAAGUGAUGCCUGCAAUGGAAAGGCUGCUUUCUCAAUCAAAGGCCAUUGAGUCCAACCAUCUCGUUUUACAGGUGAUAAAACUGGUGCCUAGAGAAUGGCCAAAAGAUUGCCCAAAGUCCCAGAGUGUGAGGGGCAGAGCCAGAAGGGUCUCAUUCUGGAGGAUCUCAUUCUGAAGGAGAGCUCCUUGAGGAGCUCCUCUGAGGGGCUCUGUCCCUCUGGGGUAGGAGCUCUGGAGGCUCUUGAGAGAGGCCCUUUGAAGCAAUCUCUGGCUGGAAGACUCUUUGAGCAAAGACGCUGGCCUGGUGUCAUUAGAAAUCCUUACUUAGACAGAUCUUAUGGGCCUCACAUUACAUCUGGCAUCUAAUAGAUGUUUCAUGACUAUUUUCUGGUUCAUCAUCUGAAAUUCCAUGAAGUCCAAGAAGAGAGGGACAAGAUCAUUUUCUUCCAGACCCAGCAUGGCAUGAUAGGAAGAGCCCUGGAUGAGACUUCAGUCCCAGGAAUGGGGUCCAAUUCUUGGCUUGGCUACUAACUCAUGACCUUGAGCAACUUCUUUUUUCCCCUUUCUGGGCCUCAGUUUCCUUAUCUGAAAAUAAGAAUAUUGUACAUGCUGACUUAUACAAUACAUAAAUUCCCCAAGCCUCAGUUUCCCCAUUUGUAAAAGGAAGAAUGUGGACUCGUUGACCUCUGAGGUCCCUUCCAGCUCAGACUCUUCGGUUCUCUGAGCCUCUGGAUUGCACAUUUCCAGUGGAUUCUUGCCAGGUACACCAUUCCUCCCAAUCCCCGGCAUAGCCUGGAGCCCAGACUGAAAUCCCCCCCACCUGUGGAUUUACCUUUCAGGUACCUGCAAACACCUCCCUGAAAUAGUCACAUCAAAAGAGCAAGAUUGUUGAGGUUGCCUUCUUUCUUUUUUCUCCCCAAGGGGGGGAUUUCUGCAGGGCUCUGAAGCCCUCCCCUGCCUGGUAAUUCAUGGGGGCCUCAGCUAUUUCUUGUGGUUGGCGGGGGCGGGAAUAACUUUCAUUUAAUAUUAACUGAGCUCCUUUGCCUCACUUCCCCCCUUUUCUCUUUGUCUCGCUUUUAAUAAACAGCCGAUUGAGCAAGUUAAGGUCUGUUGG
Molecule: long non-coding RNA, 1663 nt
Filed under: Monodelphis domestica (gray short-tailed opossum)
Lineage: Eukaryota; Metazoa; Chordata; Mammalia; Didelphimorphia; Didelphidae
Description: lncRNA (ENSMODG00000049750.1)
Source: RNAcentral